AAAAUAUUAUUUCCAGACAAAUUGAAGAUAUUUAACAAAAUUCAAUCACCAUUCUUCACUUAAGAAAAAAAUCUCAAUAAAAUAUGAAUAGUUGGAUACUUCUUUAACCUGAUAAAAUAUUUCUCAGCCCACAAGCCAGCAGCAUGGGGAACCACUAGAGCAAGCUUGUCCAACCCACAGCCCAUGGGCCGCAUGUGACCCAGGACGGCUUUGAAUGCGGCCCAACACAAAUUCAUAAACUUUCUUAAAACAUUAUGAGAUUUUUUUGUGAUUUUUUUUUUAGUUCAUCAGCUAUCAUUAAUGUUAGUGUAUUUCAUGUAUGACUCAAGACAAUUCUUCUUCUUCCACUGUGGCCCAGGGAAGCCAAAAUAUUGGACACUCCUGCACUAGAUGCUUUUCCACUGAAGUCAGGAGUGUGACAAAAAUGACCACAGUUUUCAGUUAUUGAACAUUGUCACUCUUGCACACAGAACUCAGUGGGUUUUCAGUGCUGCUCGGAAUAUCCUAAAUGUCCCUAGUCCAUUCUUUCUCCACAAUCCUAGACAUCUAUUCUCUCAUGCCUUUCACACCUUUCCCCACCUUACUUGCAGUUGAGAAUUCUGUUUCCUAGUUUAUUGAGACUACGGCAGAGACUUUCAGAGACUUACCCCUCCACGUCUACCCACUUAACCAGUGGCUGCACCACAUACUGUGCCUUCCUACCACAGAUAAACACCUGUGCAUUUGGAGAAGUCUUCAACUUGUGCCCUAGCUUCCAUCUCAUCUCACCUCAAGGACUUGUCCCAACAAUUCUGUACUCUUAUACAUCAUCAAUCUUUCUUUUCCUACUGGGUCAUUUCAUCAACAAAUAAGCCACCAAUUUUUUAUUUAUUUAUUUAUUGAGACGGUGACUCACUCUAUUACCCAGGCUAGAGUGCAUAUCCUGGCUAUAAUACUGUAUUAGUUUUUCAAGACAUUGUUGGGGGAAAACUGAGUAAAGGGUACACAAUAUCUUUUCCUUUUCUUUCUUUUUGAGAUGGUGUCUCAUUAUUUUGCCCAGGCUGAUCUCAAACCCCUAAGCUCAAGUGUUCCAAUGCCUCAGCUUCCUGAAUAGCUGGGACUACAGGCGUGUGGGUCAACAUUAUUCUUACAGAAAUAGAAACUGACAGG
This 1149-nucleotide long non-coding RNA is filed under the name Macaca fascicularis (crab-eating macaque). RNAcentral's name for it is "lncRNA (ENSMFAG00000062908.1)". Lineage: Eukaryota; Metazoa; Chordata; Mammalia; Primates; Cercopithecidae. The record is from RNAcentral.